ACGGAAGGCAGCAGUGGGGAAUAUUGGACAAUGGGGGAAACCCUGAUCCAGCGACGCCGCGUGAGUGAAGAAGUAUUUCGGUAUGUAAAGCUCUAUCAGCAAGGAAGAAAAUGACGGUACUUGACUAAGAAGCUCCGGCUAAAUACGUGCCAGCAGCCGCGGUAAUACGUAUGGAGCAAGCGUUAUCCGGAUUUACUGGGUGUAAAGGGAGCGUAGACGGCAAAGCAAGUCUGAAGUGAAAUCUAUGGGCUCAACCCAUAAACUGCUUUGGAAACUGUUUAGCUAGAGUGCAGGAGAGGUAAGUGGAAUUCCUAGUGUAGCGGUGAAAUGCGUAGAUAUUAGGAGGAACACCAGUGGCGAAGGCGGCUUACUGGACGGUAACUGACGUUGAGGCUCGAAAGCGUGGGGAGCAAACAGGAUUAGAUACCCUGGUA
This 434-nucleotide ribosomal RNA is filed under the name uncultured Lachnospiraceae bacterium. Its description in RNAcentral is "partial 16S ribosomal RNA". It matches the Rfam family "Bacterial small subunit ribosomal RNA", at positions 341 to 792 of the family's 1533-position model. Lineage: Bacteria; Bacillati; Bacillota; Clostridia; Lachnospirales; Lachnospiraceae. The record is from RNAcentral.